GCAGGAAAUACAAUUUGCUUUAGCAUAAUAUAAUGAUAUAAUCUUAUGCUCGAUAAUAUUUUUGAAUGAAGUUCUAAAAUCAAAUUUUGAUUAGAAUGCUAUCAUGGCUACAUGAAUUGAACCUGCAGCCCUACAAGGUUGCCAAGAGGUAACCACAAGCUGCUGUAUAUAUACCAUGGUGGUGUCAUUGGUAGUGUAUUAAAUUAACUGCCCAGGAUUACACUAGUAUUUUAUACAUGAAAUCUUGGUUACAGUAGUUUCAUUGACUCACGGGGUGAUGGACUCUCUGGGCAUGAUGGACUCUCGGCGGUUAAGAAGCUGAUCAAAAUCACAGGGCAGCAGGUUCCAUUCCCAGCACAGUACCGGCUAUUACAUAGUUAUUGUUCAAAAUUUACAUUUACAGAAAAGCUUUAACCCAUUGAGUGGCAUCAUUCUCUCCUUAAUGAGUCAAAUUGUCUGACCACAUUAGACAGAAAAAAUAAUAAAGUAAAGCACCUUGACACUUAAAGGGUUAAUAUUCUGUUCAAUGUAGAAUAUUUACAAGUAAAAUAUAGUGC
This is a non-coding RNA of Paramuricea clavata, 557 nucleotides long. NCBI's taxonomy places the organism in Eukaryota, Metazoa, Cnidaria, Anthozoa, Malacalcyonacea, Plexauridae. The record is from the annotation of a GenBank genome assembly.